Molecule: ribosomal RNA, 508 nt
Filed under: uncultured bacterium
Lineage: Bacteria
Description: partial 16S ribosomal RNA
Rfam family: Bacterial small subunit ribosomal RNA
Source: RNAcentral
GAUGAACGCUAGCUACAGGCUUAACACAUGCAAGUCGAGGGGAAACGAUAUUGGAAGCUUGCUUCCGAUAGGCGUCGACCGGCGCACGGGUGAGUAACGCGUAUCCAACCUGCCCACCACUUGGGAAUAACCUUGCGAAAGUAAGACUAAUGCCCAAUGAUAUCUCUAGAAGACAUCUGAAAGAGAUUAAAGAUUUAUCGGUGAUGGAUGGGGAUGCGUCUGAUUAGCUUGUUGGCGGGGUAACGGCCCACCAAGGCGACGAUCAGUAGGGGUUCUGAGAGGAAGGUCCCCCACAUUGGAACUGAGACACGGUCCUAACUCCUACGGGAGGCAGCAGUGAGGAAUGUUGGUCAAUGGGCGAGAGCCUGAACCAGCCAAGUAGCGUGCAGGAUGACGGCCCUAUGGGUUGUAAACUGCUUUUAUAAGGGAAUAAAGUGAGCCUCGUGAGGCUUUUUGCAUGUACCUUAUGAAUAAGGACCGGCUAAUUCCGUGCCAGCCGCCGCGGUAA